GCCGGAGUGGCGGAAUUGGCAGACGCGCGGGACUCAAAAUCCCGUGGGUGGAAACACCUGUGUGGGUUCAACCCCCACCUCCGGCA
This 86-nucleotide transfer RNA is filed under the name bacterium. Its description in RNAcentral is "tRNA-Leu". It matches the Rfam family "tRNA". From Rfam's summary of the family: Transfer RNA (tRNA) molecules are approximately 80 nucleotides in length. Their secondary structure includes four short double-helical elements and three loops (D, anti-codon, and T loops). Further hydrogen bonds mediate the characteristic L-shaped molecular structure. tRNAs have two regions of fundamental functional importance: the anti-codon, which is responsible for specific mRNA codon recognition, and the 3' end, to which the tRNAs corresponding amino acid is attached (by aminoacyl-tRNA synthetases). tRNAs cope with the degeneracy of the genetic code in two manners: having more than one tRNA (with a specific anti-codon) for a particular amino acid; and 'wobble' base-pairing, i.e. permitting non-standard base-pairing at the 3rd anti-codon position. The record is from RNAcentral.